This 2001-nucleotide long non-coding RNA is filed under the name Vigna radiata. RNAcentral describes it as "long non-coding RNA (VRAD_LNC011979)". The record is from RNAcentral. Lineage: Eukaryota; Viridiplantae; Streptophyta; Magnoliopsida; Fabales; Fabaceae.
CAUUAGCUGACAUUGAUAUAUCCCUUCUAAGGUUUUAUGCUCUCAUCGAUUAAAACCAUUUUGUCACUAUCCGAACUUGGAGGAAGCUUUUAGAAAGAAAAUAACUGGGCACAAGCCAAAUUAAACUUAGAACAAAUCAGCUAAGACCAUUUAAGCUGGUGUGGAGUUGAAGCUGUAGACAAAUUAAACUUAAUUUUUGGAAAACUUAGUUUUGUUACGAAAACAUGCAGUCACUUUCACUACCAAUGGUCAUAUCUCAAAAUAUACUCUAGAGAUUCUAGAAGAAAAAAGGAUGUCAAGUGUUAAGCCUAUGGACACACCAAUGGAUNCAUUUNUCAAACUUGUACUAGACCAAGGAGAAUCAUAUUCUAAACAUGGGAGAUACAGACAGUUAGUAAGUAUUAGAAUAAGCUUUCUUAAGAAGUUGUUUUGAGUUGUGCCUAGAAUCCUAGAGAUGUCUUUACUUGUUUUCUACUCUACUCUCUUUCACUGUAUCUCAGAUUAAUCUANANUUUCUAUAUAAAUAUUGAGAACCUAAGAGAGACUUGCACAAGCUUCUCUAAGAUAUCUGCUCUCUCUUUUUNUUUUUCUCAAAUACAUACAAGUGCUUAUUUGGUGGAGCAGUUUCAUGNGCUUAGAAUAGAGAAGCCUUUAAUUUAAACCUGAAUAAAAAAAAUAAAUAGCUAUAAGUGCAGCAGACAAUCUUUUUAUUGGUAUUCAAUGUUUCAUUAAAUUUAUCAUACANCAAAUAUAAUAAAAACCACAAAGCAAUUAGAUAAACUUACUGGUGCACGUAUAGCAAUUUUUCCCACAGACAAGUUUAGAUCUGGCAGUUCCCGGAUGCAAUUUUUAUCUUUUGACUGACCUGUGUUUUCUACAUUGUCAAGACUACUUGAGGAUUUCCCAGGUUGGGAUUUUGAAUGUGCAGAUAAAUUUUCAGAACACGGGUGAUAAAUUAACUAUUCUGUUCUUAUUAAUGUUUUUCAGAACAGGAAGUUCCAGCAGUUUCAAGCCCNACAAUUUGUAAUCAUCGAAGUAUGCCGUAGUCUGUUUUGAUUGGAGAGCAUUUUUGUUUUAGGGUCUUUCAUUUUGUUAUUAGUAAUGCUUUNCNGUGUAUUAGUAUCUUUCUCUUGUUAUUGUGAAUACUUCUAAUUUGUCUGAUAUGAUCGAAACCUUGCUGACUGAGGCUCGUUAUCAGCUGUAACAUGAAUACCUGUCCCACCUGGGGAAUUCAUCCAGACAUGUUGCUUUGAGGGAAAAGUCUAUAACUGACAUUUUUAUUUUGUAUACUUCAAAGUUCGGAGCAGCUUUCUCUCGAGAAAUUGUGACCGCUCUGCAUGAUCUUGUAUAACGUCUACAACAACAUUUGUAAGUUGUUUUGUGCUGUUUAGUUUCUGACAUUUAUUUAAUAUAGUAAUGGUAAUGAAUAUACUGAAUUUUCUUAUUUUUCAAAAGUUAUCUUUAAACUUAUUUAAGUUGUAUAUUGUUAAAUAUACGUAUAUUCAUUGCCAUUAUUAAUCAUACUAAGGAGGUGACUGAUCAAAGCAUAUUAAGUGCAGUGAUGAAUGUGUGAACGAUUAUACUUUUUACUUUUAUUUAUAGUUAUGGAUUUUUUUUUGGGUUUAAUCAUAUUUUAAUAAAUAUUAGUAGAUUGAUUUGUAAUUAUAUUGACUAAUUAUUAAUAUGAUUUUUAUUUUGUAAUCGGUCAGUUUUCUUAAAUCCACCUGCAUCUUUAAAUUUAUCACNCGUGUUCUUAGAUUGAGACACUUCAGUCUUCUGUUUAUCAGCACCUUCUGCAUCAAGAGGAUCAUUAUUUGAUACUUUUGAACAGACAGGGGGGUCCGAAACUGGUGUAGCAUCAACAAUUUUAUUUUUCAAACUAAUUCCAGAGACAUCCAUUUGCUUCUGAAAUUUCAGGUCUUCAUAAUGUUCACUAGGUACGCCAACGUUAUUUGAGGAACUGAGCAUAUUUUUCACAGGUAAUGAUGAAGUCUUCACAAC